UACGUAGGGACCAAGCGUUGUUCGGAUUUACUGGGCGUAAAGGGCGCGUAGGCGGCAUGACAAGUCACUUGUGAAAUCUCCGGGCUUAACUCGGAACGGCCAAGUGAUACUGUCAAGCUAGAGUGCAGAAAGGGCAAUCGGAAUUCUUGGUGUAGCGGUGAAAUGCGUAGAUAUCAAGAGGAACACCUGAGGCGAAGGCGGGUUGCUGGGCUGACACUGACGCUGAGGCGCGAAAGCUAGGGGAGCGAACGGG
Molecule: ribosomal RNA, 253 nt
Filed under: uncultured bacterium
Lineage: Bacteria
Description: partial 16S ribosomal RNA
Rfam family: Bacterial small subunit ribosomal RNA
Source: RNAcentral